RNAcentral lists this long non-coding RNA (224 nucleotides) under Manihot esculenta (cassava). RNAcentral describes it as "long non-coding RNA (MESC_LNC008624)". The record is from RNAcentral. Lineage: Eukaryota; Viridiplantae; Streptophyta; Magnoliopsida; Malpighiales; Euphorbiaceae.
ACCUCAGCUGCAGCCGCCCUCUCAUCAGACUCCUUGAGAACCCUGUGGGUAUGAAACAACUCUGCUUCCAGGGACUUGGCGUGCUCUUGUGCCUCAGCCGCCUUCCCGUCAGCUCUUUUGAGGGCCUCCAAGGCAGAAUGCAGCUCUGCCUGGAGGGACUGGGUAUGAACUCGAGCUACUGCGAGGUUGCCCCUGGCAUCACUAGUUGCGGAUAAAUUCUCCUC